Molecule: long non-coding RNA, 1035 nt
Organism: Esox lucius (northern pike)
Lineage: Eukaryota; Metazoa; Chordata; Actinopteri; Esociformes; Esocidae
Source: Ensembl
AGGCUGUGCAAAAGUUUGAUUCUAUGGUCAGUGAGACAUUUUUGUGUGGAUUCGAAGGUGUGUUUUGAAUUGUUGUCGUGCUGGAAGUUAUGUCAACAACCCAGUUUUAGCCUCCUGGCAGGGGCAGACAGGAUUUGGAAAAAAAUCUGGUACUUGAUGGAGUCCAUGUUGGAAUGUAUCCUAACAUGUUUCCCAGGGACAUAUGGAAGUCAAACAGCCCCACAACAUCACGGAUCCACCACCACUCUUCAACAUCACAGAUCCACCACUAUACUUCAACAUCACAGAUCCACCACCACUCUUCAACAUCACAGAUCCACCACUAUACUUCAACAUCACAGAUCCACCACCACUCUUCAACAUCAAAGAUCCACCACCACUCUUCAACAUCACAGAUCCACCACCACUCUUCAACAUCACAGAUCCACCACCACUCUUCAACAUCACAGAUCCACCACCACUCUUCAACAUCACAGAUCCACCACUAUACUUCAACAUCACAGAUCCACCACCACUCUUCAACAUCACAGAUCCACCACUAUACUUCAACAUCACAGAUCCACCACCACUCUUCAACAUCAAAGAUCCACCACUAUACUUCAACAUCACAGAUCCACCACCACUCUUCAACAUCAAAGAUCCACCACCACUCUUCAACAUCACAGAUCCACCACCACUCUUCAACAUCACAGAUCCACCACCACUCUUCAACAUCACAGAUCCACCACUAUAGAUCCACCACAACAUCACAGAUCACUCAGUAAGAGCAAAUGGCUCUUACUGAGUGAGUUGGUGAGUGAGUGCCUGACUGACUGCUGACCAACUACCCGUUGUUAAAUAGCGUAGUGGUUAGAGACGCGGACUGACACGUAGGCGACCAGUGUUCGCUCCUCGCCACAGACAAAACAAAUCGGGCAUUAGGAUUUGUUCAGGAUUGACUAAAAUCUCGCUGCCUUUUAGCUUCAGUAGCUACAUUAUAGUAAGUCUAAAAUUAAAAAAAUCACAGUUCUAUUGUGAUGGACGAACUGUACCGAC